RNAcentral lists this transfer RNA (76 nucleotides) under Salmonella enterica subsp. enterica serovar Weltevreden. RNAcentral describes it as "tRNA-OTHER". It matches the Rfam family "tRNA". Rfam says of the family: Transfer RNA (tRNA) molecules are approximately 80 nucleotides in length. The record is from RNAcentral. Lineage: Bacteria; Pseudomonadati; Pseudomonadota; Gammaproteobacteria; Enterobacterales; Enterobacteriaceae.
GGAGCGGUAGUUCAGUUGGUUAGAAUACCUGCCUGUCACACCUUGGGGGUCGCGGGUUCGAGUCCCGUCCGUUUCC